RNAcentral lists this ribosomal RNA (495 nucleotides) under uncultured bacterium. Its description in RNAcentral is "bacterial SSU rRNA". It matches the Rfam family "Bacterial small subunit ribosomal RNA", at positions 899 to 1397 of the family's 1533-position model. The record is from RNAcentral.
ACUCAAAUGAAUUGACGGGGGCCCGCACAAGCAGUGGAGUAUGUGGUUUAAUUCGAAGCAACGCGAAGAACCUUACCAGGUCUUGACAUCCGACUAACGAAGCAGAAAUGCAUUAGGUGCCUUUCGGGGAAAGUCGAGACAGGUGGUGCAUGGUUGUCGUCAGCUCGUGUCGUGAGAUGUUGGGUUAAGUCCCGCAACGAGCGCAACCCUUGUUUUUAGUUGCUACGCAAGAGCACUCUAAAGAGACUGCCGUUGACAAAACGGAGGAAGGUAGGGACGACGUCAAAUCAUCAUGCCCCUUAUGACCUGGGCUACACACGUACUACAAUGGCCGCCAACAGAGGGAAGCGAAAUCGCGAGGUGGAGCAAAUCCCUAAAAGCGGUCUCAGUUCGGAUUGCAGGCUGCAACCCGCCUGCAUGAAGACGGAAUUGCUAGUAAUCGCGGAUCAGCAUGCCGCGGUGAAUACGUUCCCGGGCCUUGUACACACCGCCCGU